RNAcentral lists this ribosomal RNA (467 nucleotides) under uncultured bacterium. RNAcentral's name for it is "partial 16S ribosomal RNA". It matches the Rfam family "Bacterial small subunit ribosomal RNA", at positions 29 to 507 of the family's 1533-position model. The record is from RNAcentral.
ACGAACGCUGGCGGCGUGCUUAACACAUGCAAGUCGAACGGAAAGGCCCUGCUUUUGUGGGGUGCUCGAGUGGCGAACGGGUGAGUAACACGUGAGUAACCUGCCCUUGACUUUGGGAUAACUUCAGGAAACUGGGGCUAAUACCGGAUAGGAGCUCCUGCUGCAUGGUGGGGGUUGGAAAGUUUCGGCGGUUGGGGAUGGACUCGCGGCUUAUCAGCUUGUUGGUGGGGUAGUGGCUUACCAAGGCUUUGACGGGUAGCCGGCCUGAGAGGGUGACCGGCCACAUUGGGACUGAGAUACGGCCCAGACUCCUACGGGAGGCAGCAGUGGGGAAUAUUGCACAAUGGGCGGAAGCCUGAUGCAGCAACGCCGCGUGCGGGAUGACGGCCUUCGGGUUGUAAACCGCUUUCGGCUGUGACGAAGCGUGAGUGACGGUAAUGGGUAAAGAAGCACCGGCUAACUACGUG